RNAcentral lists this long non-coding RNA (763 nucleotides) under Zea mays. RNAcentral describes it as "long non-coding RNA NONZMAT000421". Lineage: Eukaryota; Viridiplantae; Streptophyta; Magnoliopsida; Poales; Poaceae. The record is from RNAcentral.
AGCCUCGACAUUCCAUCUGCUCCCCAGGCGGAGCGUGCUCGGUGGUUCUACUCCUAGCAGGCUCGGACUCGGCACUCCGUCCGCUCCCUAGGCAGCAAUGCCUUCAGAUGUCCUAGCGGCCUUGACAUCGUUCCGAGUGCUGGGCGCCAUGCAGGUGUUUGACAAAAUGUCCAUGUCGUCUAUCAUGGUCGUGUCAUGCCCAGCGUUGGGAGAUCGUGCUCACCUACUGCAGCUAAUCGUAUAAAGCGACUUUAGCUUUCGUCUGGGAACAAUUUAUUUUUUAGGUUCUCAGUGCCAAAUAGCUUGGCGGGCUAGAGGAUGUGAAAAGGAUUCUUCUAGAUACUAUUCUGGUAAAUUUGACUUGGUUCAGCAGUAAAUAUCAGCAACACCAAUAUGACGCUCAAUUAUAGGUAAAAACAAGUGUUUUCCCUACAAUAGUUUUGGGUUUUUGUGGGAUGACCUUUUCUUUUGACUGAUAUUUCAGCUCCCUUUGACGUAUAAUCACCUGAUUUCUUCUAAAUUGCGCAAGCGAUCAGGUGUCUGGGUAUAUGGACCUCCGGGAACAGGGAAGGUAGGUUUGAAAAGGUUUCACACGAAUUAAAUUAUAUUUUUUUGUUUAGUUACCAUAACAAGUGCAUUCUGUCUCUUAGGAGACAUCCGAUAACAAGUGCAUCCUAAAGACAUGGGAUCGCUAAAAUGAAUGUAUGUUGGACUUCUAGGCUUUACUCGCGAAAGCCUGAAUACUCACUGAACUUUCGUAGCG